UGGCUAUGAAUGGUGACAUAGACC
This 24-nucleotide non-coding RNA is filed under the name Arabidopsis thaliana (thale cress). Lineage: Eukaryota; Viridiplantae; Streptophyta; Magnoliopsida; Brassicales; Brassicaceae. The record is from RNAcentral.